GACCGAUUCAUCAUCCCAUGGAACCUCUGAUGAAAUCAAGGAUGAGGAUACUGAAGCUGGUUCCAUUCCUUGUUGUCGUAUUUGCUUAGAGAGCGAUGCCGAACCAGAAGAUGAACUGAUUUCUCCAUGCAUGUGCAAAGGCACACAGCAGUUUGUCCAUCGAUCUUGUCUUGAUCAUUGGCGCUCCGUUAAGGAAGGGUUUGCUUUCUCGCAUUGCACAACAUGCAAAGCCCAAUUUCACCUGAAAGUU
Molecule: unclassified non-coding RNA, 250 nt
Filed under: Hevea brasiliensis (rubber tree)
Lineage: Eukaryota; Viridiplantae; Streptophyta; Magnoliopsida; Malpighiales; Euphorbiaceae
Source: RNAcentral